RNAcentral lists this unclassified non-coding RNA (550 nucleotides) under Hevea brasiliensis (rubber tree). Lineage: Eukaryota; Viridiplantae; Streptophyta; Magnoliopsida; Malpighiales; Euphorbiaceae. The record is from RNAcentral.
GGAUGAGGUUGUUUCACGUAGCUGUGUGUUAGCACAAGAUGGUGCCCCAUCGAGGUUGCCUAUUGCUCAUAUGGUGUGCAAUCAAACACCGCCAGUUGGAGAAAAACCUAGUUUAAUGACAUUUCGUGAGGUAGAGACAGUAUUCCAUGAAUUUGGUCAUGCACUCCAGCAUAUGUUGACAAAACAAGAUGAAGGUUUAGUUGCUGGUAUUCGUGGGAUAGAAUGGGAUGCUGUUGAAUUGCCAUCUCAGUUCAUGGAAAACUGGUGUUAUCACAGAGAUACUUUGAUGGGCAUUGCGAAGCACUAUGAAACGGGUGAAAGUCUCCCUGAAGAAGUGUUCUUGAAACUACUUGCAGCAAGGACAUUUCGUGCAGGUUCCCUGAGUCUCCGUCAGCUUAGGUUUGCAAGUGUUGAUUUGGAGCUUCACACUAAAUAUGUUCCUGGCGAGCCAGAGUUAAUCUUUGCGGUUGACCAAAGAGUGUGCAAACAAACACAAGUGAUACCUCCUUUAGCAGAUGAUAAAUUCCUAUGUAGUUUCAGCCAUAUUUUU